UGAAACUCAUCAAACUCAUCUUGUCCUUCACUCCACCUUAGGUUUACGGAGCGGCUACAAAGAGAGACACACAUUCUUUGUUUGUUUAUUGUGCUCACACCCACAUAACAGAGCAUAUUUUCUUCAAAAAUGGAAGAUGUGAUAACAGAAGCAGCACCACCAUCAAGAUUACUAGAAGAAGACCUAAACAAUUUCACACCAUCUUCUCCACCACUCCCUUCACCUUUUCUCCUCUUCCCUCACACACAACAACAACAACAACCUCUCAAACCCACACUCCUCAUCAUCGCUAUCUCUUCUCCCUCUCUCUCCCUUUUCCACAAUCUCCUCACCCCACAAACCCUAACCUCCUCUCUCAUCCUCCCUGAACUCCCUCUCUCCUAUCCUAACAACACCAUCAACAUCCACUCUCUCUCUUCCACCAUCCUCCUCGCCGCCGUUCAAAACCCUAUCCCUGAUAAUCGCGCUUACGCCGUCGCUGAAAUCCUCCUCAGCAACCAGAUCUGCCCUGAUUCGGUUAUUAUACUUGAUUCUAUCCAGCCGAUGAAUCACCGUGGUCUGCUUUCUUCCGACGAGGCGGUUGCAUUCAAGCUGGAGAGUUUUGCCGAAAGGAAGAAGGCGAAUGAGGAGAAAUUGUUGGGAGGAUUGGAUUAUUACCCGUCUGGAAGCGUUGUUGAUGGACUCGGUGCCGCCAUUCUUGGACGGUGUCAGAUUUUGAAAAUUAGGGCUAGCUUGUGUGUUACUUGGCCUCAAUUUGAUUCAGAUGUUGUUUUGUUGUUGAAGGAUUUGCUUCGAGGUUUGGGUGAGUUUGAGUUUGGGUUUAGUGAUGAUGAGGUUUUCAAAUUUGGGAGGAGUAAGGAUCAUGUUUUUCAAUCUCACUUGUAUAUUUGAUUAGAUUUAUUACAAUGUGUGUUUAACAUUUAGUUCUCAAUGAUUUGAAUGUUUUGGAAUUAUGAUGGUUAUGAAUAGUUAUCUAGUCUUUGCUUUAUUGUUGUGUUGCUUUUAUAUUUUGUCAAUUUUAUUCUACAAAUUGCCAUGAAAAUUUGCAAUAUCUUGCUUUACUGGGAAGAGCUUCUAUAGCUAUCUGAAUGUCACUUUCAAUAUCUAAUAGCUUUGUUCUUUAAUUUGUUAACUUUAACAAUGACAAUUGGUUGUGGAUAUCAAAUUUGCAUUUAGAUUCACAGUAUUAAACUAUCUAAGGUUAUGACUUAUAGUGGAUCUCCAUUGUUAUUUAAAUCUUUUUACCAAAUGAUUCAUCUGUGUCCUAUAUUUGUAAUGUGAGGUUAAUUGGUUGCAAUGUUGAUUGGUAGCUAAUAAAAGUACAUUUGAUCUUUAUGCUCUUUUGAAUUGAAUGCUUGCUCAGUUUUGUGUUGUCAUCUUGAAACUACUGGUUUUGUUACUGGCAUUGUGAUUGAUGUCAAUAUACUGCAUCAAGUCGUGCUUGUGGGUCACAUGGAUACAAAUGUAACUGUGGCAUGCAACCUACAACCACAAUGUGAUUGUUAAGGCAAUGUAAUACCCUGAUUAUAACAAAUAGUUAUGAUCAAUGUAACCCUAAACCCUUUCGAGGACAUCCAUAGCUUAGUCCAAAUAAAUUUUGGAUCAUCAUAGAUCUUAUUGGAUCAGAUGAUGCUACAUGUUUUUAAAGCUGUAGAUUUGAAUGAUGGCUAGACAUAUUUUUUUUUUCUUGCUGCCUCUAGUGUUGUGUAUCAUUGAUAAAAGAACUCAAUAGUUUACAAAUGUGAUUUCUGUGUCCAGAAUUCUCUAGAAAAUCUUAUUCUUCACUUGUAUCUAGUGAUUUAUGUUUUUUUUUGUUUUGUUAACGUAUCUCUUCUAAAUGUAAUUUAGGAUGCUUUGAAUGCUUUAAUAGAAUAGAUUUUAAUGUUAUCUGUUGAUCUUUAUGCUCUUUUGAAUUGAAUAUUAUGCUACUGUCAUGAGAGGAUCCCUUCCCUACAAUAAUAGUGAUUGUUUGCGGGCCACAUCGGUCCAAAUGUAACUGUCAUGCAAUAGAGCAGAUGUUGUUAAGGCAAUGUGAUAUCCUGACCAUAAUCGGUAUAUAUGAUUGAUGUAAUUCUUUUCAAGACAUGUAUAUAGCAUAGUCCAAUAAGUUUUGAUACAUCAUAGAACAAAAUUCAUUUGGACCAUACUGCACUUUUCUUUUCAUGCUACUCAAAAUGUUUUUUUUUAGUGGUGGCCAAGCUUUGAACCUUGGACCUUGCAUAUAUUAUGUAUUGUUUAUACAAAUUGAAUUAAGCUCACGAGGACAAAUGUUUAUACAAGUUAUAGAUGGUAGAAGUCAAUUAAACGAAGUGUUUAGUAGACAAUAAGAGUUGUGUGAAACAUAUUUUUCAUGUUGUCUCGACAUUGGUGGUGUUUAUCAUUGAGAUACGGAACCCAUCUAGUGUAAGCUCUACAAGCAAUUACUAAUAUGUUUUUCUUGUCCAAAAUUCAGUACAGAAGUUUAUUACUUUUCUUUAGCAUAUGUUUGGUUUGAUGUUGAAAUUAUCAAUCUCGCAGAGGAAUUGGAGUUUUCCAAACCCAUACUUAGUCUGUGUAUCAAUAGUGAAACUUGAUUGGAUCUGCAUUGGGUAACUUCCAACCCAGAUCUUGAUUUGCUAGCCUUGACUGAUCUUUAACCCAAACUUGAAAUUAAAAAUAAUUCUCAAAAGGGAGGAUAAACAUGCGAUUUUGUCAAAAAUUUGGUGAUGAUGAGGUUUUCAAAUUUGGGAGGAGUAAGGUUCAUGUUUUUCAAUCUCACUUAUAUAUUUGAUUAGAUUUAUUACAAAGUGUCUGUUUAACAUGUAGUUCUCGAUGAUUUGAAUGUUUUGGAAUUAUGAUGGUUAUGAAUAGUUAUCUAGUCUUUGCUUUAUUGUUGUGUUGCUUUUAUANCAACGAGCAUCAAGCUCGGGGGCUUUGCAUAGUCAAAAGAAGGUGCUCAACGAGCAUAGAGCUCGGGGAUUUCACCCGGUUAAAAGAAUUCUCCCAAGGAUUAUAAAGCUCAGGGGGCUGAAGAAAGCCUUAUAAGACUUCCAGACAUGUCUAUUGAAGUAAACAUAUAUAAAUUUGUUAAGGUUUUUUUUUUUAUAUAUAUAUAACAAAUGUAAGUACAUUACCUAUUUAAGUAAACAUGUAUAAAUUUUUGGAGAAAACUUAGGUACAAUUCCUUAAGUGCUUUUCGUAUGGUUGUGAACUAAAUUCACCAUGAUUUCCUCAAAUCCAUAAUUUUCUCCUAAAUUUUUUAUUAUUUUUUCUAACAAAUAUUAGUACGUUAACUGUUGUAUACAUAUUUUAUCCCUUACUAAUAUUUGAACCGUACACUUUUAACUUGGUAAUUUUUUUUUAUUCAAAAUUUUUCUCAUAUCAUAUCUCAACUCUUGAAAUAGAUUUUUCGUUGCUUCUAAAUUUUCAUUAGGCAUGACCUAUAAAAUAAAAAUAAUCUGUUUAAUAGGUAAAUAUGUAAUACACAUCAUUAACAAUGUGAUUAGGUAGAAUAAAUUUAAGCAUUAAAAAAUAGAAUAUAUUUCAGUUUGACUAAGCUAUGUAUCCAUAUUUUAAAAUCCGAUUAGUCGUGUAUAUGAUUAUCUUUAAUUAAAAUACAUGCUUCAUUCGUUCUUAAAUAUAAGAUCUUUUUAGUCGAAUCAUGGGAAAUAAAAAAAUUGGUAGUAAUAUUAAAUUUGUUUAUAAUUAUUAUUCUUACGAUUUUAUCAUUUAAGAGAUUGUUUAUGUUUUCAACAUAAUAGUAUUUAUUGUUGAUUGAAGAAAAAUAUGUAAAAUAAAUAUGGGUAUGUUGGUAAAAAAAUAAUUAAUAUAGUUUUGUUUAUGGAAAAUAAUUAAUAUAGUUGAAAAUGCCAAAUGGUCUUAUAAAGAGAUAAAUAAAUUUAAGUUUUUUUUAGUCUCGUUUUGGUGCCUUCUGUUAGGUCUCCGUUAGUUUUAAUAAUAAACGUUAAGUGUGGACACGUGUCACCUCGUCAUUGGCUCUGAGAUUUUUUAUUUUAUUUUUUAAAAAAUUUAUUUAAGGGACCAAAAGAGCAUUUAAGCCUAUUUAUAAAGAUUAAAAAAAAAAACAUAUUUAAACCAAAGAUUUAUCGUUGUGUCGAACCAAAUGUAACUCGCUUUGUGAAACUCAUCAAACUCAUCUUGUCCUUCACUCCACCUUAGGUUUACGGAGCGGCUACAAAGAGAGACACACAUUCUUUGUUUGUUUAUUGUGCUCACACCCACAUAACAGAGCAUAUUUUCUUCAAAAAUGGAAGAUGUGAUAACAGAAGCAGCACCACCAUCAAGAUUACUAGAAGAAGACCUAAACAAUUUCACACCAUCUUCUCCACCACUCCCUUCACCUUUUCUCCUCUUCCCUCACACACAACAACAACAACAACCUCUCAAACCCACACUCCUCAUCAUCGCUAUCUCUUCUCCCUCUCUCUCCCUUUUCCACAAUCUCCUCACCCCACAAACCCUAACCUCCUCUCUCAUCCUCCCUGAACUCCCUCUCUCCUAUCCUAACAACACCAUCAACAUCCACUCUCUCUCUUCCACCAUCCUCCUCGCCGCCGUUCAAAACCCUAUCCCUGAUAAUCGCGCUUACGCCGUCGCUGAAAUCCUCCUCAGCAACCAGAUCUGCCCUGAUUCGGUUAUUAUACUUGAUUCUAUCCAGCCGAUGAAUCACCGUGGUCUGCUUUCUUCCGACGAGGCGGUUGCAUUCAAGCUGGAGAGUUUUGCCGAAAGGAAGAAGGCGAAUGAGGAGAAAUUGUUGGGAGGAUUGGAUUAUUACCCGUCUGGAAGCGUUGUUGAUGGACUCGGUGCCGCCAUUCUUGGACGGUGUCAGAUUUUGAAAAUUAGGGCUAGCUUGUGUGUUACUUGGCCUCAAUUUGAUUCAGAUGUUGUUUUGUUGUUGAAGGAUUUGCUUCGAGGUUUGGGUGAGUUUGAGUUUGGGUUUAGUGAUGAUGAGGUUUUCAAAUUUGGGAGGAGUAAGGAUCAUGUUUUUCAAUCUCACUUAUAUAUUUGAUUAGAUUUAUUACAAUGUGUGUUUAACAUUUAGUUCUCAAUGAUUUGAAUGUUUUGGAAUUAUGAUGGUUAUGAAUAGUUAUCUAGUCUUUGCUUUAUUGUUGUGUUGCUUUUAUAUUUUGUCAAUUUUAUUCUACAAAUUGCCAUGAAAAUUUGCAAUAUCUUGCUUUACUGGGAAGAGCUUCUAUAGCUAUCUGAAUGUCACUUUCAAUAUCUAAUAGCUUUGUUCUUUAAUUUGUUAACUUUAACAAUGACAAUUGGUUGUGGAUAUCAAAUUUGCAUUUAGAUUCACAGUAUUAAACUAUCUAAGGUUAUGACUUAUAGUGGAUCUCCAUUGUUAUUUAAAUCUUUUUACCAAAUGAUUCAUCUGUGUCCUAUAUUUGUAAUGUGAGGUUAAUUGGUUGCAAUGUUGAUUGGUAGCUAAUAAAAGUACAUUUGAUCUUUAUGCUCUUUUGAAUUGAAUGCUUGCUCAGUUUUGUGUUGUCAUCUUGAAACUACUGGUUUUGUUACUGGCAUUGUGAUUGAUGUCAAUAUACUGCAUCAAGUCGUGCUUGUGGGUCACAUGGAUACAAAUGUAACUGUGGCAUGCAACCUACAACCACAAUGUGAUUGUUAAGGCAAUGUAAUACCCUGAUUAUAACAAAUAGUUAUGAUCAAUGUAACCCUAAACCCUUUCGAGGACAUCCAUAGCUUAGUCCAAAUAAAUUUUGGAUCAUCAUAGAUCUUAUUGGAUCAGAUGAUGCUACAUGUUUUUAAAGCUGUAGAUUUGAAUGAUGGCUAGACAUAUUUUUUUUUUCUUGCUGCCUCUAGUGUUGUGUAUCAUUGAUAAAAGAACUCAAUAGUUUACAAAUGUGAUUUCUGUGUCCAGAAUUCUCUAGAAAAUCUUAUUCUUCACUUGUAUCUAGUGAUUUAUGUUUUUUUUUGUUUUGUUAACGUAUCUCUUCUAAAUGUAAUUUAGGAUGCUUUGAAUGCUUUAAUAGAAUAGAUUUUAAUGUUAUCUGUUGAUCUUUAUGCUCUUUUGAAUUGAAUAUUAUGCUACUGUCAUGAGAGGAUCCCUUCCCUACAAUAAUAGUGAUUGUUUGCGGGCCACAUCGGUCCAAAUGUAACUGUCAUGCAAUAGAGCAGAUGUUGUUAAGGCAAUGUGAUAUCCUGACCAUAAUCGGUAUAUAUGAUUGAUGUAAUUCUUUUCAAGACAUGUAUAUAGCAUAGUCCAAUAAGUUUUGAUACAUCAUAGAACAAAAUUCAUUUGGACCAUACUGCACUUUUCUUUUCAUGCUACUCAAAAUGUUUUUUUUUAGUGGUGGCCAAGCUUUGAACCUUGGACCUUGCAUAUAUUAUGUAUUGUUUAUACAAAUUGAAUUAAGCUCACGAGGACAAAUGUUUAUACAAGUUAUAGAUGGUAGAAGUCAAUUAAACGAAGUGUUUAGUAGACAAUAAGAGUUGUGUGAAACAUAUUUUUCAUGUUGUCUCGACAUUGGUGGUGUUUAUCAUUGAGAUACGGAACCCAUCUAGUGUAAGCUCUACAAGCAAUUACUAAUAUGUUUUUCUUGUCCAAAAUUCAGUACAGAAGUUUAUUACUUUUCUUUAGCAUAUGUUUGGUUUGAUGUUGAAAUUAUCAAUCUCGCAGAGGAAUUGGAGUUUUCCAAACCCAUACUUAGUCUGUGUAUCAAUAGUGAAACUUGAUUGGAUCUGCAUUGGGUAACUUCCAACCCAGAUCUUGAUUUGCUAGCCUUGACUGAUCUUUAACCCAAACUUGAAAUUAAAAAUAAUUCUCAAAAGGGAGGAUAAACAUGCGAUUUUGUCAAAAAUUUGGUGAUGAUGAGGUUUUCAAAUUUGGGAGGAGUAAGGUUCAUGUUUUUCAAUCUCACUUAUAUAUUUGAUUAGAUUUAUUACAAAGUGUCUGUUUAACAUGUAGUUCUCGAUGAUUUGAAUGUUUUGGAAUUAUGAUGGUUAUGAAUAGUUAUCUAGUCUUUGCUUUAUUGUUGUGUUGCUUUUAUAUUUUGUCAAUUUUAUUCUACAAAUUGCCAUGAAAAUUUGCAAUAUCUUGCUUUACUGGGAAGAGCUUCUAUAGCUAUCUGAAUGUCACUUUCAAUAUCUAAUAGCUAUUUGAAUGAUAGCAGCAGGUAUGGAGGAACAUUAUUAGUAGACAAUAAGAGCUGUGUAAAACAGAUUUUUCUUGCUGUUUCGACAUUGGUGGUGUUUAUCAUUGAGAGAUAUGGAACCCAUCUAGUGUAAGCUCUACAAGCAAUUACUAAUGUUUUUCUUGUCCAAAAUUCAGUACAGAAGUUUAUUGCUUUUAUUUAGCAUAUGUUUGGUUUGAUGUUGAAAUUAUCAUUCUCGCUGAGGAUCAAUAGUGAAACUUUAUUGGAUCUGCAUUGGGGGCACUCCCAACCCAGCUUAAUUGAUUUGCUAGCCUUGACUGAUCUUUAAGCCAAACUAGAAAUUAAAAUUAAUUCUCAAAAGGGAGGAUAAACAUGCGAUUAUGUCAAAAAUUUGGUAAGUUAGUUGAGACUUGGAAUAGAGAAAAAAAUGCAUGUACAGAACUGAAAUUAAGUUAAGUGAUGAAUUAUGUGAUUUUGUCAAUAUAUUUAAGUGAUUACUAUUGAUUUUGAUCUAUAGUAAGAAUUAAGAAACAUACAAUAUCUUUGGUGUACGAUCUAUAAUGUUCUUUGAGCCUGCUCUAACUCUUGUGAGUCUCAGUGUCCAACUUCUUUAAAACUUUUUAUUAUAAAAAUAAAAAACAUGACGGGUCAAUUUGAAGCCAAAUUAAUUCUUGUCACAAAGUUUCUAGUUUUGAUCUGUCUUCAACAUAACACAAUCUAGAGGUGGAAAAUUGUCAAUAUGGAUGAGAAAUUUGUAGAUAUAUAUGCUAUGUAUUCUUGCACGGAUAUAUAAAGAAAGAUAAUACUCUUAAUCGUGCACUUCAAAACCAUGACUGAAUUCGUAUUAGAUUUUGCUUCCUUAAUUAAAACCUGCAAGAAUUUGAUUAAGUCCAUAUGCAAUCUUUUUAUUCUUGGAGGAAAAACAAGAAUGCCAACAUGCAAUGCAAAUCGACAUCAUAUAAAAUUGCUAUUUGAAUUUUGACGUGUGGAAAUGUAUCAUACUGUUAAAUAUGACUUUUUGGUAAGCAAAAUUCAAUUGAUUUCUGUCUCAUAAAUUAAAUUAAAUUAAGCUGAUGUAAUGCUAGGUGGUAACCUAAAACCUAACCUAUAUAACGUUAGACUAAUGAAACCUGUCUCAAAAACGACAGAAAGAUAACAACAAAAUAUGAAAAAAAAUAUUUGUCCAACAUUUCAUACAAUUUUUUUUUUUGAAAAAGGCUAAAAUGGAAUUUAUUAAGAUAGCAAUGAAUCUUAACCAGUACAAGGAGUGUUAGGCUAUGAGAGUCUUACCGUAGCAACAAACAAAUGAUGAUGGGAAGCCCCCAAUGGAAAACCCAUACACCCGUGAAAAUAAAGAAAAAUCCAAAAACCUAUAGGAAACGUCUCCUAACAAAGGACUAUAUCUGGAAUCAAUAAAUAGAAACACCAAAACAAAGCUAACAUCACGAACAACGAAACAACAUAAACAAAAUCCUCAAACAUCGUCACAACUGCCACAAAAACAACUUCUACCACCCACAUUCCGCUGCUCGCACACAACCCUGAACACCAACAUGUCGUACAUGAUCAAUGCUCAUUGAUAAUAAAGAACUGAAUAUAUAAAGUGCAAAUUAGCUGUUAAUUUGGAUUGGAUUUGGUGACUGGCCUUCAAAUAAAUAAAUUAUUAAUUAGUUAAAUUGUACAUGUUGGUCACACAACUUUUAAUCACUUUUUUUUUUUCUCUAGCUAUACCUCUGUAUUUCUAUGUGUGUGUGGACAAUGUUACUUUUAGUUUAAGAACACUCACCAACUUAGGCAAUAUUAGUUGCAUCUUCUCUUGACUCUAAAGAACAUCUUUAAGAAACAUUGAAUUCGCAAAUGCAUGGAAAAGGUCAAGGUGCAACACUACACUUCACAUCACUUAUUAUAUAUUCACUUAUUCCUAUCUAUUUCCCCAACUCAACAUUCUUCUCAAGCUAACCUCUAAUAAUACACUAACAAUGGAUACUCCAUUUCUGUUCAAAUUUGUUUUUUUACAUAUUUUUCUUUUGUUUGGCUUUCUUGGUGACAAUAGAUUGUAUGCAAGUGAGCCUCAACUAACACUUGAUUACUAUGCAUCAACUUGUCCUACUGUGUUUGAUAUUGUCAGGAAGCAAAUGGAAUGUUCGGUGCUUUCUGAACCUCGUAACGCAGCCUCGGUUGUUCGGCUUCACUUCCAUGACUGCUUUAUUCAGGUCUCAAAAACUUGCCUUUUUUCCUUGUAAUUAUUGCUUCUGUUUUCAUGUUGGAAAGAAAAAAGAGUAAAUCCUCGACAUAUUUCCAUUUACCACACCGAUUCUACUAAAAUGUUAGUCAUCUUAAACAUCAUCUUCGGGUUUUACAAAAUGAAUAUCUAAGAACCAAUGUGGUGAUAAAAAUACCUUUAAUUGAGAGAUAAAUUUGGAGAUAAAAUAAAAAUUUCAAAAUACUAAUAUGGCUGUGAUUUUGAUUUUUGAAGGACUAAUUUAGUAAUCAAAAUGUUGAAUGAAACAAGUUAUGUCUGUGUAUACUUUGCAAUAUCAACUUAAGUUUUACUCCAAAAAUAGUAAAGCUACAUUACAUGUUCCAUUCAAAGUAUUAGAUGAACCUAUUGAGGAGAUAAAGAAAAUUCGUACUAAAGAAACUUGAUUUUAUGUGUUCAGGGUUGCGAUGGAUCGAUCUUGCUCGAUGAUACAUACACACUUAAAGGUGAAAAGAAAGCAGCUACCAACAUCCACUCUUUAAAAGGCUUUGAAAUUAUCGAUCAAAUCAAGAACUUUGUUGAAUCAGAGUGCCCUGGAGUUGUUUCUUGUGCCGAUAUUCUCACAAUUGCGGCUAGAGAUGCUGUGAUUCUGGUAAAACAAACAAUACAAUAUGUACAACAAAAUUCAAUCUUUAUCUUAUAUAAGUUAUUGGAUUUAUGAUAUCUCUUUGUCCUUUGAUUUCUUGUAGGUUGGUGGACCAUACUGGGAUGUUCCUGUGGGAAGGAAAGAUUCCGUGACUGCAAGUUUUGAACUUGCUAACACCAAUCUUCCAACACCUGAUGAAAGCCUUGUUUCUAUCAUUCCCAAAUUUCUUUAUCAAGGCCUAUCAGUCACGGAUAUGGUUUCCCUUGUCGGUAUGUUCUUAUGACUGAUUUACAACUUAGGACUCAGAGUACUUGCCGAAGAAGCUCAUAGUUCUUGUCUUAAUGAGUGAGACAGUGACCUGAUCGCUAUUAGUUCGAGAAAAAAAAAUGGAAAAAUGAAUGAGUCGUCAAAUCUGAACUCAUAUUCAUUUUCCUUUGUUUUUGUUUUUGUAGAACAAACAUCCAUCAGGUCACCGUCUCACAUAUGAAUGAGAACAAGGAUCACUGAGUUUCUAUUUUCAAGGAGCGGCAUUAUUCACCAUUGGUGUGUUUUGUGUAAUUUUAAAGCGUGAUUCAUCGUAAAACCCGCCUUCCUUGAUUUAUGAUCAUUCUAGCUAGCAUAUUAACUAGAGAGAAUAGACCUUACACAGAUUGUUUUGUACAAUUAGUACAACUCUCAGUUUUACCACAAUAAUCCUCAUCUCGGCUCAAAUGAAAUGUACAAAAUAACAAACCAAAUUGCAUUGCAUAAAUAAUAACAAUAUGAAUAUUUUGACCAUUUCUUCACAUUGCCUUGCAAUAAAAGUCAAUAACUGGUUUCCUCGUAAGAUUCCUAGGUAGUUGUAAAAGUAAUUUGUAAUAAACGUUGUUGCGUGCUAUAUAAAUUUCCUGAUCACAACACAUGCAGGAUCCCACACCAUUGGUAUGGCAAGGUGUCAAAAUUUUCGAUCAAGAAUAUAUGGAGACUAUGAAUCAACUUCAGUGAAAAAUCCAAUCUCAGAUAAUCAGUUCAACAACCUGAAAUCUAUUUGUCCACCAAUUGGGGGAGGAGACAAUAACAUAACGGCAAUGGACUAUGUGACGCCUAAUCUCUUCGACAAUUCUUUCUACCAGUUACUAUUAAAAGGCGAGGGAGUUCUUAACUCAGAUCAAGAAAUGUACUCGAGUGUGUUCGGAAUCGAAACAAGAGAGCUUGUCAAGAAGUAUGCAGCAGACUCUCUUGCUUUCUUCCAGCAAUUCUCUGAUUCCAUGGUCAAAAUGGGAAAUAUCACAAAUUCAGAAAGCUUCAUCACGGGAGAAGUUAGGAAGAACUGCAGAUUUGUUAACACAUAAAACUUUCAUUUUUUGGAUUAUGUAUUUUAUGUUUGUUUCGACACAUAUAGAACCAUUAAUUUUAUGUGUUUCAGUCACUUUCAGCCAUAGCUAGUUGAUACAAUGAUAUGUAACAAAUGAAGCAAGCAAUUAUAUAAUGAACAAAUGAAGUAAAAUCGACUGAUUUCCUUUUCAUACAAAGAAAGGUGUUGAGUUUGAGAAUGAAAGUUGAUGUAGCCAAUGUUAGAUUUCCUUGCAGAUCAAACUUUAAAAAUUCAGAUCUAAUACAUAAACUAGCUCAUGAUCUUGAUCUAACCAUAUUAACACUAUGGUAUGGUAUGCUAGAAUAAAAAAGGGUGAGAAAUUAUUAUACUAUAUGGGAGAAUGAUUUUUUAGAGGUGACGCAUAUGCAUAAUCAUAGCUUAAGAAUAAUGAGUCAAAUUUAAUUUAUGGGAAUAUCUUUGAGGUACCAUAUCAUCACAAUGCUAGAUCAGGAGUAACUCAAACUUACUUUACAAUAUAAAUAUAGAAGACAAAUAUAUAAUUGAUAGAAACACUUAUACAUUCAACCUUAACCUCAUACUUUCAAAUAUAUAAAAUCCAUAUAAACUUUAUUAAAUUAAAUCUAAAAAUAUUGCUAAUAAAUUUAUUAAACCUUAAUUAAAAGAAAACAACUAAAUGGCAAUAAUGUCAUUUAAUUAUCCUUAAAAUAAGGUAAUAAUAAAACUUCCCCAAAAGAAUGUGAGUAUAGUUAGACAAUUUCAUAAGAUGCACCCAAAUUUACUCUUAAUUGUAGGAAACUCAGUUGAUGGAAAGCAUGAAGGUCAGCCAAUUCCAUGAUCAAAGGUUAAAUUUUCAUGUAAAUCAUCAAAACAUGAUUUUGACUCUCUAAUUUCACGAAGAUCAUAAGAACAUUUCAUUAGAAUUUUGAAUAGAUGUGUGCUUCUACAAUUAGUUACCUAGACCUUGAAUAGAUGUGUGCUUCUACAAUUAGUUACCUAGGAUACUUGAUCUUAUAAGAACCUAUUCAAUUAAAAAUAUAAUAAGAGUAUUUUCACUUAUUACAAAGACACGAAUACUUGAUCAAAUUAAACCAACACCUAUGGAUAAAGAUUCUUACUUUCUCUUGUUCGACCGUUUAAGAUUUUUGGUGUUGAGAGUUUUGAGUUUUGAGUAAGAUCCUACCAAAUCCUCCUCCAUCUAUGGCAAUUAGUUGAGAAGGAAAAAUCUCUAAUAGUUAUAGCAACAACCACAUGUUGGCUUGGAAUAAAAAUGAAUAAAAAUAUAUUCAUUUUUUAUGCAUUUUUAAUAUGUUUUCUUCCACAUGUUUAGUGAACUCUUGAUCGCAUAACAAUGUUAAAUAUAUGAAGUGUCCUUUCAACAAAACUCUCUCUUUUACCAAAACCUGUGUAUUUGAAAUCAAAGAAAAAAUAUCCAUUAGAGAAUACGAAAAAUUAUAGAAAUAGAAACACACACAAACAAAGCUUAAAAAGAAAAUCAAAACUAUCAAAAAAUGAAAUGGAAGAAGAAAUGAAAAGGAUAACAUAAGCAACAUAUAUAAGCUUAGAAAAAAAUGAGGAGCUUUAUAGUAAUAAACUUGUGUGUGUAAGAGGAUUGAUUAAGAAUAUGAAUAAUUUUAAAAUUUAACCCCUCAAUAUUAAUAAAAUGGAUUAUAAUGCAUUCAUUGUGUAACUUGCAUGAAGUGAAGUAAAUGAAGUGUUUUUGCAGCCAAUGGAAAAUGAAAGAUAGAUAGUAAGGAAUGACUAAUAAAGAAUCAAGAACAAAAGAUAGCCACAUGACAUAAGUAUGAGAGAUUAGUUAGAAAGGGGGUAUUGGUAAGGUGACACAUAGGAAAAAUGUAGCUUAGAAUAUAUAUAUAUAUAUAUAUAAGGACUAAAACCAAAAAAAAAAAAAUUGCAUAGAUCAAACUCAAAAAAUUGUGUAACUGCAAGAACUAAUGACAUGUAUAAACCUAUUCAUUAUUAUUCACAUUUAAAAAUACUUGAAAAAGAUUUUUAAAUUUACGGGUUCCAUGUUGAUUGGAACAUACAUAAUUGAAUGAUAAAUUAUAAUAAUUUAUAAUAAGACAUAAGAAAAGUAAAUAUAAAAACUUCCCUAAAAAAAAAAGUAAAUAUAAAAACUAUGUGUCCUUCAAAAUAUAUAUAUAUAUAUAUAUAUAUAUAUAUAUAUAUAUGACAAAUUCUAUGGUACACCCAACAAUUUGAGUGUAUUGGUACACCAAAUCUUUAAAUUAAUAGUUAAAUGAGUUAUUUUUUAUAGGAAAAAAAUAUUUUCCAUCACCUAUAAUUAUAAUAACUAAAUCUUAUUUACCAAAAACGUCAACACAAUAAAAUUCGAUUUUUCUGAAUUCAUAUUACUCAUAAUAGAGAAUUUUGAUUAUUUUUUUACAAUAAAAUGUAGAAAAAUUUAAUAUGAUUUUUCUAAAAAAUGAAAUGAUGUUCUUUUUUAUAAAAUGAUAUUUUCUAAAAUAUAUAUGUCAACAAACACCAAUUUUCUUUCAUAAAAAAUGAUAGUUAACUUAUAAAAAUUGUAAGCGAGAGUACCGGUACACCUUAAUUUACGGAUACACCGUAGAAAUUCCAUAUAUAUAUAUAUAUAUAUAUAUAUAUAUAUGAUGUUUUAAUGAAACUAGACUUGUUGAAGUGAUUAUCAACGUGUCAUAACCCAUGUGCAAUGUUGCUUUAACUUUAUUAGCUGUGUACUUUGGUAUAUGGUCAUCAACAGUAACAUAACAUUUUAUUUUUGAAUUUGAGACCGUCAAUGAUAUUACUCCGUUUCUUUUUAUCUGUUAUUUUUUUAUAUUUUACACAAACUAAGACACUUAAUAAAUAUUACUUUUUCUUAUACAAUAAUUUAUAUUUUUACUAUAAUAUCCUUAUUCAUUUAAUAUUUUAUUUCAUAUAUUUCUUUCUCCGUAAUAAAUAAUUAAGGGUAAUGUUGGUAAAACAACAUUUAUUGUUGCAUUGAACUUUGAAAGUGACAGUUAAAUAGGAACAAAAAAUUUCUCCAAAAGAGACAUUUAAAAAGGAACGGAGGGAGUAAUAGAUGAGUACGACAUCAGAGAGGUAGAAGUGAACCUACCUAUGAUUUUAUGAUUUUUUUUAGAUAGACAAAAUGACAAAACCAUUAUAAACUCAUACAUAAGGGUGGACAAAAAUUCAAAGUCCAACCCAAACCGGUAUAACCAGCUGUAUAAACGGACGGGGUUUAAACGGGUUGUCGGGUCUACGGAUUGCCAAUUUCGGUUUUCUGUGAGUAUAUAUGGACGGGCUCGGAUGUCCAAAAUGGAACCAAGGGAAACCGAAACCCGCCCGAUUAGCUACCCACCCAUGUCUCACUUUUCAUUCAAUUACUCAGGGAUGGAUGUGACGAAACUCACAAUCUGUCAGAUACCCCAUCUUAUUAAAUAAUGCAAUAAAUUUACUUUUAUUAUUACUAUCACAACAACUUAGUACAAGUUAUUAUUACCAUCACAACCACUCAGUACAACAACAAAUUGUAUUUUAUUUUUCUUUUUGCUGAUAUUGCUGUAUGGAAAAGAGAGAGAACAGGGCUAUACUAAUAUUUAUCAACGCUACUAUCAUCCAUCACCUUGAGAUAUUAACUUUCUUUUUCCUCUCUCAAGACACCUUCCUACGUCCCACCACCUCUCUCUAUUUUCUCUUCACAAUUGUUGUGGUCAAUUUCUUUUGUUAUUGUCAUUAGAUCUACAAGUUUUGAACAAAAUAGUUGUUCACCUAUAUGGAUUUAACAAUCUAUCUUCAUCUUCUGUGUUAUUAUUUCUGUGUAUUUUGCUUUUGAUGUUAUUUUAGUUAUUUGUAGGAGGUCAGUAACUUCUUUUCAUUAUUUAUAAUACAAGUAAAAAUAAUUACUUGUACUGUAAUGAGUAAUAUAAUAAUUUGAUAAAAAUUAAAGAAAAAAAAAUACACAUUUUCUAUUGUAAAGUUCACCAUAAAACAAUACAUUUUCAUCUCAUUCUUCUUUUUUCCUCUAUCUCUAAUUUAAGUCAUGACAAAAGUAGGAGUUAGUGUUGGUCUGAAGUAUGGCCGUGUAAAUGAAACUAAUGAUGUUAAUUACCUUAGAGUGCUUGUAAAUUCAGCCGUUUGAGUCAAGGACUUGUUGAUAAAGUGUUUUGGGUUUAAGUCUGAGGAUAUAAUCCUUCUCAUAGAUGAAUAUCCGUCGAUGGCUUCUCCUUCAAAAAAUUAUUUUGAAAUAAAAUCAAGUGUUGUCACCCACGCAACCCUUUUGACAUUGUUGCUGGAUUUGUUUAAGAACCUUAAAGCGGGUGAUACCUUGUUUUUUUACUUUGCUGGACAUGGAUUUAGGUCAAAGAGUAAGCCAAAAUACGAUAACGACACUAGUUAUGUAGAAGCCAUAUGUUUGAACCUUAACUCUAAUAUUUUUGGUAAUAUGUUUUCUCUUUGAUUGUAUUCGCUCUCUUUCUCCAUAUAAAAUCUCUGAUGUGUUUGGUGGCUAUCUGUUACUUGUGUUAUGCAGAUUAUGACUUUAGAGAACUUGCGAAGCAUGUUCCUGAAGGAUGUUAAUUUGUUAUGAUGGUGGACAACUGCAAUUCUGCUGGGUUACUUGAUGGUUUGACUGAAGUUAUCGACGAUAGUCAUCAGUCUGCAAACGUCGUUAAGAACAAAACUCAACAAUCAAAUUUUUUUAAGGGAGCUAAAAUGGAUAAAGAGCCUUCAGGUGUGUUGGUAAGCUCUUGUCAAUCUUAUGAGAGUUCUGUUGGAGAGCUUAUUAGUAGUAUAUCAAAAUUGAGGAGGUGUAUUUGGAUCUUCCAUACAUACCUCCACUAUUUUAAAAACUUCUUCUUCUUCCAUUUUUUAACGUCACCAGAAUUGAGGAGGUGACGCUAAAAAAUGGAAGAAGAAGUUUUUAAAAUAGUAGAGGUCUGUAUGGAGUAUCCAAAUACAACUUCUCAAUUUCGAUCUACUACUAUAAACCUUCCAACAGAACUCUCAUAAGAUUGACAAGAGCUUACCAACACAUCUGAAGGCUCUUUAUCCAUUUUAAAUCCUUUAAAAAAAUCUGAUUGCUGACGUUUGUUUUUAACGACGUUUGCAGACUGAUGACUAUCGCCGAUAACUUCAGUCGAACCAUCAAGUAACCCAGCAGAAUUGCAGUUGUCCAUCAUCAUAACAAAUUGACAUCCUUCAGGAACAUGCUUCGCAAGUUCUCUAAAGUCAUAAUCUGCAUAACACAAGUAACAGAUAGCCACCAAACACAUCAGAGAUUGUAUAUGGAGAAAGAGAGCGAAAACAAUUAAAGAGAAAACAUAUUACCAAAAAUAUUAGAGUUAAGGUUCAAACAUAUGGCUUCUACGUAACUAGUAUCGUUAUCGUAUUUUGGCUUACUCUUUGACCUAAAUCCAUGUCCAGCAAAGUAAAAAAACAAGGUAUCCCCCGCUUUAAGGUUCUUAAACAAAUCCAGCAACAAUGUCAAAAGGGUUGCGUGGGUGACAACACUUGUUUUAUUUCAAAAUUAUUUUUUGGAGGACAAACCAUCGACGGAUAUUCAUCUAUGAGAAGGGUUAUGUCCUCAGGCUUAAACCAAAAAUGCUUUAUCAACAAGUCCUUGACUAGAAAAGCGGAAUUGAUAGAUCCUCUAAGGUAAUUAAGAUCAUUGGUUUCAUUUACACGGUUAUAUUUUAAACCAACACUAACUCUACUUUUGCUAUGACUUAAAUUGGAGAUAGAGGAAAAAAGAAUGAAGAGAUGAGAGUGUAUUGUUUUAUGGUGAACUUUGCAAUAGAAAAUGUGUGUAUGUUAUAUAGACUAGGGGUGGCGAUGGACAGAAACUCACAAUCCGUUUGAACCGACGGUUGCAAUAUCCAAGCCCACUCCCGUCCGUUCAUGGAAUCGGUUUCCUCGGAUGGCGGUUUAGACGGAUUACGGUUUCUUCGGUUGGUUUAUCUCGGGUCCUUAUUGAUCAUCGUCUCCAUUAUCGACCAAAACUCAUAAAAAAAAAAACAGAAUCAGAUACUAGAAAUAGAGAGGAGCUUCUGGUUAAGAUCAAAGAAUGCGGUCUACGGUCACCGGUGCCACUCAGCAUGUCCCCUACACUCCGGCUGACAGGGUAAAGAAACUCUAAUAAUAAUUAAAGAUGAAGAGAGGGUUUUGAGUCUAGAGAGGUGAGAGUCAAUUAUUAAGUUGUAGAUCUACGUUGUUAACUCAUUAUGGUGUCUCUCAAACCUCCAGCACAAGGCCAACAUAUUGUGAUAUCUAACCUUCGUGAAUCAGUCUGGGUAAAUAACAAAAUAGAGAGUAAAGAGCAUAUGAAAGAUUGAGAGAAGUAUUUGGGAUUUUUGUUCUUGAGAAGAAGAUAUGUGUCGUGAGAGAAAUAUGGGGAGAGCGUAGGUAAGGUUUUGGGAAAGUACUGUCACUACUUUCUACACACAAAAAAUAACAAAUAAAUACAAAAAUAAAAUAUAGGUCACAAAAAUGAGUUUAUUCUUAAUUCAAUUAAAAAAAGUAGACUUAAAAAAACAGUGUAUGUGGCUCUGUACAACAAUAAAGUAAGCUAUCUGCUAUGAAUAUAGUAAAAUAUAGGUGAAAAACUAAAAAGUAGUCUGAUACUCGAAAAAGUCUUAGUUGAUCACAAACACAGAUAAAUAGUACUUAGGCGCACACACAUGGAAGAGAAAAAUUAAAAGAUAAAAGUAAAAAAUGAUGUGAUUAAUUUAUUUCUCUAUUAAAUUUUUUUAAUUAUGAGUGUGUGCCCAAAUGUUUUUCAUUUGGGUUUGUGUGUAUAGAAGAGUUGCUCCUGAUACUCUUUGUGAUUGAUAUAUAGGAUUGGAAGCUGCUACUAGUAUAAUACUCCUUCCGAUCCUAUUUACAAGAUAAAGUUAACUUUUUAGAUACAUUGAAUAAUGUAUAUAUUUAGUCAAGAACCUAAACCAAAUACAUAAAUUAUUUAAUGUAUAUAAAAAGUUAAUUGUUUCUUGUAAAUAGGACCGGAGGGAGUAUAACUCUCGAUCGGUUAACGGAUUUCGAUGAGUUAAAUUUCGUCCAAUUCUAUCUGCAGUAGACCAAAAACAUAAACCUGUAGGCCCGAAAACCCGAAAUGGGCCGCCCGCAGCAUUUAUUUAUUUAUCGGGUACAUCGAUUUCGGGCGGUUGUCGGAUUUUUGUCCAGCCCUAAUAUAGACGUGUUUAGAAAAUGUGUAUUUUUUUUCUUUAGUUUUUAUCAAAUUAUUAUAUUACUACAAGUAAUUAUUUUUACUUGUAUUAUAAAUAAUGAAAAGAAGUUGCUGACCUCCCACAAAUAUAACCAAUUUCUGAUACAAUUAAAAUUCAUAGGUAGGUUUAUAAUGAUUGUUAGAUCGGACGCCCAUGACUGAGGUUCGAAUCCUAAUACUUCCAUUUAUAUGUGUAAGUUUAUAAUGAUUUUACCGUUUCAACUAUCUAUAAAAAAAAAAAAAAUCAUAGGUAGGUUCACUGCUACGUACCUCUGUGAUGCCGUACUCAUCUAUUAUCAUUGACGGUCUCAAAUUCAACAAGUAAAAUGUUCUGUUACUAUUGAUGACCGGUGGCAUUUUACAUUAAAUUUCAAUAUAAACAUAUAUGUAUAAGAUGAUGCUCCGUUGCAAAAUACAAUGGAAUCCUUUCCCAUCAUAGGAAAAGUGACUUUUGUACCAUUGAUUUAAUAAUAAAAUAAUUGAAUGGUUGAGAUGUAUUACUUGCUACCCUUUGAAAACUUUUUGUUUUUACAAAAUCACAAAAAUGCGGACCCCACACGUAAAUAGAAUGUUGUCUAUUUGUUUGGGCUGAUUUUUUUUAUUGAAUGGGCAUGUUGUUUAUAGGUUUACGUCAACCCGAAAAUAAGCCGCAUUUAGCGAAUAACUUACAAGCUCGUAUGUUUAAAAAGGCUCCGUUUGAUAAACGUUAUUUCAUCACGAAUUUUUAAUAUUGAUAAAAAAUAAAAUUAAAACUCUUGUUUUAGAAAACAACAUUCAGUUUUUUUUUUGCUCAAAAAAAGAAAAAGAAAACAACAUUCAGUGGAUAAUAUUGUUGUACAAUUUAUACACAGAACAACAGUCAAUCGCUAAUUAGUUAAUUAAAUUUAUUUUCUUACACAUCUUCAAAAUAAUAAUAAGAUAAUUUAUGACACAAUAAUUUGACGCAUAAGUCGCGCUUUAACGUAUAAUUCGUAUGGACCACGGUCUGUUGUUAAUUUUUUUAUUAAACACUUAAUCCUAAAACUAAACGGAAAAAAAAGCAAAAAGAAAAACCAAAAAAAAAUAUUAAAAAUGGUUGUUCCCUAAAGCCUAUGUAAAACACUAAAAAAAUGGCUUGUUCGCCAAAACGAAAAUAAAACAACAAAAAAAAAAUUGAAAACAAAUGCCUGUUCUCCAAAGCAUGCAUAGAACAAGGCAUUUGCAAUUUUUCCAAAAAAAAAAAAAAAAAAAGACAUUUGCAUUAUUAAAUAUCAACAAGGGUAUAGUUAUCAAUAAUUUUAGUCUGUGAUGCAGAAAAGAAAAAAUUUCGUCAAGAACUGAGAUACAUAAGGUGGUGGUGUACAAAGUAAUGUUUUCUAAAAGAGGAGGUGCAAAUCAAAUUUAAAUAUAAUAUAGCAUUCAAUUAUGUUUGUUCAAACCAAAAAAUCAAAUAAAAUAUGUAGCAACUUGUUGCAUUGUCAUAUGUAGGUAAAAAGUGACCUUUCCUAUGGUGGGAAAAGAUUCACCUUUCCCAUGGUAACCUUCACCUGGUAGUUAAGUUAAAAACUUAGAAGAGUUAAAAAGUAUGCCGGUAGAAAAUCUGAUACUCUCCUCUAAUAUAUAGAUCCACACCUAUAUAUAUGAAUUGUGAUGACUCGGCAUAUUUAGUUAAGAUUCAUCACCUCAUUCUCAUUUGAAACCUCCCUCUUCUUCAUCUCUCAAAAAUAUCUCCAAUUUACAUUCAGGAUUGAAAGAAAAUCAACCAGUGGAAACUGCCAGUUCCUGGGAGAGAAUCAAAUAUCCUGGGCCAGCAAAAGACAAGCAACUAUUGCUAUGUCUAAAGCAGAAGCAGAAUACAUAUCAGCUGCAAGUUGUUGAACACAACUACUUUGGAUGAAACAUCAGUUGGAAGACUAUCAGAUAAAUGCUAACAGUAUUCCCAUUUAUUGUGAUAAUAUUGCUGCUAUUUGUUUGUCAAAGAAUCCAAUUCUGCAUUCAAAAGCCAAACAUAUUGAAAUCAAACACCACUUUAUUAGAGACUAUGUUCAAAAAGGAAUUUUAGAUAUACAAUUCAUUGAUAUCGAACAUCAAUGGGCUGAUAUAUUUACUAAGCCUUUAACUCUGGAAAGAUUUGAAUUUAUAAAGAAAAAUUUGAACAUGCACCUUGUGUCUGAUUGAAUUUGCUUGCUCCUGAACUAGAAGUUUGGUUCUGAAGUCUUCUCAGAAGCUAUGGUCCAUCAGAAGCUUUUAACUGAGAUUCUGAGGAAAAUGGGCUUCUGAAGAUGAUGUCAGCACUUUAACUUCAGAAGCUGAAUUCUUUGCUCCUGAAUAGCAGGAUUAGUGGAAACGUUGGAAGUUACCCUUCAAGUAACACCUGUCCCACUAACUUAGCAGUUACUCUGAAACGCUUCUGACGUGGUUUAUUUGUAUUGGUGUAUGACUUAAGAGGGCAAUGAUGAUUUUUUAGCUUUGAAAGUACUAUCUCGCGCCCCCAAUUGUCAUUAAUGUUGUGUUUGUUUGUCCCCUUCUGAAUUGCAAUCGUUUUUACUCAAAACACUUAGACAAAACACACACUACUCACUUUAAAACCUACACUUUCAUCGUUUCAAACUAUUCUCUGCGAAGUAAGCGCAUUCCUCUUCACUCAAAUCCUUAGAACCUUAAAAAUUCAUCUUCAUCAUGGAAACUUCAAGCUCUGUUUCCAGAAUCAUCCAACAUGCAAGAAGCUGUUCCUGCUUACGAAAUCAAAGGAAGAACAAUGUCUUUGGAGGAAUGGGAUUUGAAGAUUCAAACGGAAAAUCCGGUUGAUUUGACAUCUCUUGCAUUUCAUGGCUGUGACAUAAGAAGAUUCUAUGAAGCACAAGGCCUAAUGGAUUACUUCAAUAUGUUGAAUGGACCAACAUAUCAAACACUGGUAAGGCACUUCUUGGUUAGAGCAAGUGUCUACAACAAAGAAACUGCUAAGCUUGAAGAAACAGAAAAGAUACUCAUUAACCCUACGCUGGAGGGAAAAUCUCGUGAAGAAAUGGGUCUAGAACCAUUUGUCUGCACUGAGAUAAGAUCAAGCAUCAUGGGAAUUCCAGUGCAUAUCUCAGAAGACAUAAUAGCCUUUGUCAUCAGAAGGGCUGCUGAAGGUAUAGGCAAUAGUAAGACCAGUCAAUGGAAUGAGGUGGUCAAUCAAUCCAUGUUCAACAGCUAAGACAAGGGUAUGUAUGCUGACUUGAGCAUGGAGAAGAAGAUGCUCCUGAAAAUCCAAAAUGAAAACCUGCUACCAAAAGGUGGUGGCAGUGAUCAACCUUCAUAGGAGCAUAUGAUCCUUCUACACUUCUUCAUAACUGGAGAAAAAGCUAAUGUGCCCAGAUACAUCUUCAGGCACAUGAUCCAGCAACUCAAGGAAAGUCAAGAUAAGAAGAGAUGUUGGGUUCCUUAUGGAAGGCUAAUCUCAUAAAUUUUUCAUCAAGGAUGGAUUCUGAGAUCUCUCAGCAAAGUAAACUUCUUUACUGAUGAGCAGCUAGGCACAGAGACUGGGAAGAUCAUUAAUUGAAGUACUCUAAAGCACAUAAAGCUGAUUAAUUGAAGGAAUCUUUUGCCAUAUCAAAUCUGAUGGAAGACUUUCCCCCCAUCUGCAAACAAGAUCCACUUGAUGUCCAGAUGAACUGGAUCAAGGAUCAUUUUGCAUCAACAGGCACAAAGAUUAAUUUGGAAGAUGUGCAUGAAACAAUGUAUGGUGGAGCUCUUCCAGUUGCUAAGAGCAGGAAAACUAAGAGAAAAUCUAUCAACAAGGAUGAUUACUUAGAAGAUGCUUCUAAAAAAUCUUCCAAGAAGGCAAAGAAAGAAAAGUCCUCUUCUGGUGUACCAACGAUUCAGGAAGAAGCUAAGGAGCUGAAUGUUGAUGCAAUUCUGAAAAAGAAAACCAGAAGUGACAAAGCUUCUAUUUCUUCUCAAACUGUUUCUGAUCAACCUUCUAUUCCUAAGAAGAAGAGAAAGCAGGCUAUCAUGAAGUUAAAGAUGGCAGCGGAUGUUGCUGAAGAAGAAGAAAUUGAAGUUGCUACUAAUCUUGUCACCAGAGAGGUAAGGCAGAAGAAAGCUGAAGAUGCUACUACACUUCAGAAAGCCUUGGAGUUAGCAAAGAAGAUUGAAAUCACUGCAUCCAACAUAGUAAGGGAAGAUGCUGGUGCAGAUGCUCAAGAGGUGAUUAAGGCUGCUGGAGAGGUGCAAUAGCUUGUGGUAACUGAAGCUGGAAGCUUGUUGGAGCUUGCUGAAGCAGUUCAGAAGGAACAUGUUGAUGUGUAACGCAAAUAAGGCAUAUAUUCAAGAAAUAGACGCUACGUCAUCAUACAAAAUCCAAAACAACAUGCAUGUAUAAAAAUCUCAACAGCCGCAGCGGAUAUAUAAACCAUAUACUUCAAACAUACAUGCCAUGAUAUCAAAAAUACAUUAACAUAAAUGUUCUCCAAGUCCCGACAAAUGGGUAAACCUUCAACAUGAAUAAAUCCAAACAGAUAAUCUAGACCAACAUAGACAGACGCCUGGAUUAGAGCCUAUCCUAGACCCGACUAAACCGAUACCGGAGAUAGCUCCCGAUAUCCGACCAAGCAUCAAUCAACUCACCGGAGUAACUAAUCCUGCACAGCGUCUACCCAUCCAUACAGACAUGUAGGCGGUCAAAACCACUGGGGUAAGUAUUACAUCAAUCAUAAUCAACAUAAACAGUUAGACAUGAACAAAUCAAUUCAUGUAACAUUUCAUUAAUCAAGAAUAAUUAAUUUCCAUAUACACAUUCAUUCAAAAAUUCCAAAUCUUACAACAUGUAUUUAUCAAACACACUUAUCAUCAACAAUCAUCAUUAAUAUGCCACAAAUAAGACUCAUGUCAACAUGAAAUGCGCCUAGUUCGACACAUAUAUGCAUGUGGUACCAAAUCACCUCAAGGUCGUCACCUUCGAUGCAACAAAAACAUCGUAUGUAAAAUUUCACACCCGUCUUACAUAAUCACCGAAGUAAAAGAGUUCAACUCUUUUACAGCUACAAGACUCAACAUGAUUAUGAUGCAUGGACAUACAAGUAAGGACUCAACAAUGCAGAUCACCUCAAAAUUUUCACAACAAUAUAAAGGACAACUUCCAAAUAUAUUGAUCAUCUCCUCAACAAUUGCAUUAUCAAGUAAUUACGUCCACACAACAUUCGAGUCAUAUUUCAAAUAAGAGUCAUCAUCACAUUAUCACAUAAUCAUCAAUAAUCAUCAACAUCAACUAUUUCAUAUAGUCUCACCAUUCCAUUUAUUUCUCAUAUUCCAAGUAAGAGAACAUACAACAUCUUAUGAUAAAUAUCAUAUCAACAUACAACAAGUCAUUCACACAUCUUCAUUUAUUCAUAUAAGGCUAGUCACGAAAGAUCAUAAGAUUAAUUAGUUGACUUAAAUGAACCAAUUCCGGUAAAGUCCGUGUCAAGUUGCAAACGGCCCUCAUUGACAAUUUCCAAAACAAGGUAACAAUAUAAAGUUUGAAAAUCCUCAAGAGAGUCUUAAUCAAUCAUGUGAUCAUGAACGUAAGCCACUUACAAACUAUUAGACAUUAGUUCAAAGAAUAACUUAAGUUCACAUAAGAAAACCCAAGUUCACAUUUCCCAUAUUCCCACCCGAAAUAUCAAGUUUACCAUGAUUAAGAUGCUUGACCAACUCUACAAUUUCCACCUAAGUAUAUAUAAGCUGUAGGCUUAACUUGUAAUCUCAUUCAACUCAUAAAGGUUCAAUUCGACAAAAUUCGAAAUUCCCAAAAAUAUCCAAGUUUCAACCCAAAAUGGAAAAUCCCAAAUUUGAAUGAGCUAAACAUGUUCCAGUAUGUUUAGGGGUUCAAACAGUAGUUAAACAAGUUGAAAGAAUCAUUUUACAAAGCUCGGAUUGGCCCCCUAAAGCCCGGAACAAAAAUCAAAAGUGGCUGAAUCUGGGCAGGUUCGCUUAAGCGACCAUCUGGUUCGCUUAAGCGAACAAGUUUCAGUAGCUACUUGUAAUGUACGCUUACUGAUCGCUUACUAUUCGCUUACCUGUUCGCUAAAGCGAACAAGUUCCAGUAGCUAUCAGUAGUGUACGCUUAUAGGUUCGCUUAAGCAACCUAUUUCCAGAACUUGCUAUGAUGGUUUGCUUAAGCGUUCGCUUAAGCGAACAGUCAUAGUUCUGCAGAAAAAUAUUACGGGUUUCAACUCCUUUUCACCCAAAACCCCCAAUUUUGAUCUCCCAAUGCCCAAAUGUGUUUUCAGAGUUUGUUUGCAGGUCAAUAUAACUAACAAGGCUCAACAAACAUGAAAACAAAUAACAUUUGAACAUAAUUCACCAAUUCAACCCAUUUUACAAAACCAACCACAACAGCUCACUUCUCAUCAUCAAAUCAUGAAUUAUGAACACCCAAGCCAUGAAUCAACAACAACAAUAUCACUUAGCAACAACAACAUCAAUUGAACAUGAAUCUCAUCACAAUUCAACAACAACAUAGAACAAUUCAACAUUUAGAGCAUAGUUCAACAUAUAACACUUUCAUAUACUUGGAACAUGCAAUUUCACUAACAACAAUCCAAUUAUCACCAAUUUCAUGCAUUCAAACAUAUCAUCAUAAUUAGAGCACGAAUUCUAACAACUAAUGAACAAUUAAUCCCUUACUCAAUUAAGCACUUAAUCAUACAAUAAUUGAAAAAUUACACUAAAUGAUUAUGAUUGAAUUCUAACCCCCUUACCUUAAUUAGCACAAUUCCUAGCCCAACCUUCACUUUAGCUCCUAGGAUCUCUACCACUUCUUGAAUCUUCAAGCUUCUUCUUCUCUAACCCUUUUUCCUC
This 25278-nucleotide long non-coding RNA is filed under the name Medicago truncatula (barrel medic). RNAcentral's name for it is "long non-coding RNA (MTRU_LNC003206)". The record is from RNAcentral. Lineage: Eukaryota; Viridiplantae; Streptophyta; Magnoliopsida; Fabales; Fabaceae.